This 491-nucleotide ribosomal RNA is filed under the name uncultured bacterium. Its description in RNAcentral is "partial 16S ribosomal RNA". It matches the Rfam family "Bacterial small subunit ribosomal RNA", at positions 30 to 506 of the family's 1533-position model. The record is from RNAcentral.
CGAACGCUGGCGGCGUGCUUAACACAUGCAAGUCGAACGGAAAGGCCUGCUUUCCCUUGUGGAUUGCGGGUACUCGAGUGGCGAACGGGUGAGUAACACGUGAGUGAUCUGCCCCCAACUUGGGUAUAAGCCUGGGAAACUGGGUCUAAUUCCCGAUAGGACUGCAGGGUGGUGCCUGUGGUGGAAAACGAUUUUCUAGUGGUUGGGGAUGAGCUCGCGGCCUAUCAGCUUGUUGGUGGGGUAAUGGCCUACCAAGGCGGCGACGGGUAGCCGGCCUGAGAGGGUGGACGGCCACAUUGGGACUGAGAUACGGCCCAGACUCCUACGGGAGGCAGCAGUGGGGAAUAUUGCACAAUGGGCGGAAGCCUGAUGCAGCGACGCCGCGUGGGGGAUGACGGCCUUCGGGUUGUAAACUCCUUUCGACCGCGAGGAAGCCACCUGGUUGGAAGGGUGGUGACGGUAGUGGUAGAAGAAGCACCGGCUAACUACGU